This 772-nucleotide long non-coding RNA is filed under the name Homo sapiens (human). Its description in RNAcentral is "HSALNT0285052". Lineage: Eukaryota; Metazoa; Chordata; Mammalia; Primates; Hominidae. The record is from RNAcentral.
UCCAGCAAGGGCAGAAGGUCAUCCUGGCCCCAGGAAUGUGGCCAAACCUUAGUCUCAUGAGAAAUGGGAAAGUAUGGAGAAAAUAUGGACUAGGGUAGAUAAGCCAUCUUUAUAAGUACAGCCACCAUUGGCACCAUGCAAUAUAGGCCCACAUAGCUUUGGGACUGGUAGUUGAAGUUCUGAGUGGGAGAUCAGGAAGGAACUGUCCAAACCCCUAAUGGAGUCUAACUGAGGGAGAAAGCCCACCCAGGAGGAAGCAGGAGGCCAGCAGCAGGACUCUAUAGCUCCCACCCUAUUCACAGAGCCUGGUGGAUAUCUUCUGACCAUAGCACUUUAUAGACAACCCAGUAGAAGAUAUUGAAGAUGAGGAAAGUGAAAGGGAAGACAGCCCGGGAGAUGGUGUCAAUUCUCUUGGCUCAGUCCACGUAGAGUUUCCGCGUGGUUUCUCCUUCCCUUAGAAGAGGGGCUGGAGGUUGGGGACUAUAAAUGCCAGAACCUUCCAUUGGACCUCCAUCUCUUGCCUGCAGGCAGUGGCCCAAGCCAUAGCCACGGAAAUAGAAACGACUUUCUUGGAUGAUAUCUUCCUCCUGGAAUUACAAGGAAGAAACGGCAGAAUUUGAGGUCAAAGCUCAAAGGCAGAGGGAUAGAGAACAGACCACCCAUCAAUAUCUCAUAGGGAAUGUUAUGCAGACAAGGUGCCUUGGGUACACAGGCCCAUUGCAUGCUUUUUAUGGUCACAACACUACUCAUGAGAUAGAUGUAUGCUAAGCAG